AUUGAACGCUGGCGGCAUGCUUUACACAUGCAAGUCGAACGGCAGCGCGGGCUUCGGCCUGGCGGCGAGUGGCGAACGGGUGAGUAAUGCAUCGGAACGUGCCCAGGAGUGGGGGAUAGCCCGGCGAAAGCCGGAUUAAUACCGCAUACGACCUGAGGGUGAAAGCGGGGGACCGAAAGGCCUCGCGCUCUUGGAGCGGUCGAUGGCGGAUUAGCGAGUUGGUGGGGUAAAGGCUUACCAAGGCGACGAUCCGUAGCUGGUCUGAGAGGACGACAAGCCACACUGGGACUGAGACACGGCCCAGACUCCUACGGGAGGCAGCAGUGGGGAAUUUUGGACAAUGGGGGCAACCCUGAUCCAGCCAUGCCGCGUGCGGGAAGAAGGCCUUCGGGUUGUAAACCGCUUUUGUUCGGGAAGAAAUCCUCUGGGCUAAUACCCCGGGGGGAUGACGGUACCGGAAGAAUAAGCACCGGCUAACUACGUG
This 484-nucleotide ribosomal RNA is filed under the name uncultured bacterium. RNAcentral describes it as "partial 16S ribosomal RNA". It matches the Rfam family "Bacterial small subunit ribosomal RNA", at positions 28 to 507 of the family's 1533-position model. The record is from RNAcentral.